Long non-coding RNA from Capra hircus (goat), 430 nucleotides. RefSeq lists it as uncharacterized. The transcript has 3 exons. Lineage: Eukaryota; Metazoa; Chordata; Mammalia; Artiodactyla; Bovidae. The record is from RefSeq and is a predicted model, not a curated record.
CCACAGGGUCGCAAACAGUCAGUUCUGGAGGCCUUAAGUCUGAAAGCAGGGCAUGGCCACAGUUGGUUCCUUCUGGAGGUUCUGAGGGAGUCAGUUCCUGCCUUCUGGUGAUUGCCAGCCGUCCUUGGUGUUCCUUGGCACACAGGUGGAGGGGAUUUAUUGUAAUCAGGUGGCCAUCAUCUUAGAGCUACAGAGAUGUUAUCCUCAGCAUUCAUGAGGAAGUGUGCAUAAGAUGUAGAAUGGAUUUUCUUUCAAUUAGUGGAAUCAUAUAAUCUCAUGAUACGACCUUAAAGAUCAUCUGGUUAUUAACUCUUAAUUGAAGAUGUCUGUAUCACAAUAUAUCAUACAUUCUGUCCCUACCUCAAGGACAUGAUUUUUCUUUCUUGACAAAUUCUACCAAUUGACACUGUGUGUGCACUAAAUCACUUCA